Long non-coding RNA from Oncorhynchus keta (chum salmon), 1782 nucleotides. RefSeq lists it as uncharacterized. The transcript has 2 exons. The record is from RefSeq and is a predicted model, not a curated record. NCBI's taxonomy places the organism in Eukaryota, Metazoa, Chordata, Actinopteri, Salmoniformes, Salmonidae.
CUGCUCCAUCUGGAAACCCAGCGCUCUGCUCGCUCUGCUCUUGCUCUCUGCCGUCUCCACGACAACACCCUGGGAGUGGCACAGCAGGUCAUCACGAUGCAGUGUGUAGAGAGGGAGGAUGACACAUGCACUCCAUUGUCUGUGGUAAUAUCACAGCCCUAACCAUCGAGAUAUAGCCUUGGGUAUUGUGUUAAUACAAAAUUGGACCAAAUGAUUUAGAUAUUUUGGUCAUUCACUAGAACUCUGCCCAUUUUCUAUUGACGUCUGCGUAUUGAAAGCGAAAACAUCACCGUUUGAGGAGAGAAAACAUAUACAGUAUGUAUUUAUUUCUACAUAUUGUCAUCACAGAGGUGCUAAUGUAUUUUGUUGGUAACUGAGGAAUAGAAGAAUUCAGACAAGACAUUGUUAUUCACAGACUGGUUUCACUAAUGUAAUUCCUAUAUUACCUGGUUUCAAGGUAAAAGCAACCAAUCAUUGUGCUGUUGGGAUUCUCAGGGUCCUCAUUUCUCGGUUCAUUGUGAAGAGCUCAUAUUGUAGUGCAAACUACCAUUAUAGAUCCUCUAAUUUGUAUACUGUAAUACUUGAGUAAGACUUAGAAAAACUGUAAUGUUAUGUCCUGUAUCACCAUGAUUUAGCAUGGGUCUCAAGCAGAGUGAUGUACUUACCCAGCUGCUUUGUGGACAUGUCUUGUUUGACAUGGCUUGGAUAUCCACAAGGAUUACCAAUGUAUUACCACAUCAGUGAGGUGAACUGAUUUGAGGACAAAGAGCAAUGACUACCUUAUGCACCAAUAAUUUUAGCGAAGCUUCAUUGAUUGACUAUAUUUCUGCCCAAUGACCACUGAUCUUCUUGAAAUCUAGCUGGGUAGAUAGCCAAUGAGCUGAGGUAAACGCCAGUAUGUAAUGGUUUGGGGUUGGACCACAAUUCCUUGUUUGUAAUCGCACGCGCAGAGAACUCCAUUCUCGCCUUGACGAUCAGAGGAGUUGCUGUAAGGCUUUUUACGCGCAGCUGUAUUUCGGAAAGUUGAAGUUUCAAUGAUUUCAUUGAAGAUAUCAUGGCGAAUAAAUCAGGUAAAGCGAAGUCAAUGUCUAAAGUGAAAGUGAAAGUGAAAAAGUGAAAGUGAGACAGAUUUUUUGUUUGAGGAAUCUUGGAGUGAUAAGAUUCAAACGAACUGAGGAGCUGUUUCUGCAUGGAUAGGACAUACUUCUGGACGGUGAUAGCGACUCCGACUGGGAGCCCCCGGUGCCAAGCUGCCCACUCUACCUCUGCCCCAAGUGGUGUUCAUAUGCCACAGUUCAUUACUGCAGGCAUGACUGUGCCUCAGGGCCAAAAGGGCACAGCAUGGAGGCGUUGUUGUGUUCUGUGUCGCAUGAACUGCACCACUUGUUCAGUUUGCCUCUGCUUUACAUCAGAAAGAGACUGCUAUGGGACAUGGCACAGGCAGCAAAAUAUUGUGACGUGGACUUCCAAGGGGUGUACUGUUUUUUUUAAAUAUUUAUUUUCUAAUAUUAUUUUAAACCAUUUUUUUUUGUGUGUGUGUUAGAAUUGCUUUUUGAUAUGUUGUAUAUAGUUAUUUUCACUGCUGUAUAUAGUUAUAGGUAAUUUCACCAAUUCGGCCACUUGGGUACAUUUGGGCAACUUGUGUGGGACACACAAGCUCACCCAUUCCUUAAGUUAUCAGUCUGAAAUCCAUCAAAUUUGUCUCCAGCAUCCUAUCUGACUGUGUGGCUAUUCUAGUACAUGUGAAAGAUGAUACUACAACAAUAAAACACAGAAAACGUA